Molecule: ribosomal RNA, 520 nt
Filed under: uncultured bacterium
Lineage: Bacteria
Description: bacterial SSU rRNA
Rfam family: Bacterial small subunit ribosomal RNA
Source: RNAcentral
UAGUCCACGCCGUAAACGAUGGACACUAGUUGUUGGAAUUAUUCAGUGACUAAGCGAAAGUGAUAAGUGUCCCACCUGGGGAGUACGAUCGCAAGAUUGAAACUCAAAGGAAUUGACGGGGCCCGCACAAGCGGUGGAGCAUGUGGUUUAAUUCGAUGAUACGCGAGGAACCUUACCAGGGCUUAAAUGUAAGUUGCAUGAUUUAGAGAUAGAUCUUUCUUCGGACUACUUACAAGGUGCUGCAUGGUUGUCGUCAGCUCGUGCCGUGAGGUGUCAGGUUAAGUCCUAUAACGAGCGCAACCCCUACCGUUAGUUGCCAGCAUGUUAUGAUGGGGACUCUAGCGGGACUGCCGGUGCAAACCGAGAGGGAAGGUGGGGAUGACGUCAAAUCAUCACGGGCCCCUUACGUCCUGGGGCUACACACGUGCUACAAUGGUAACGACAGAGGGGCAGCCACCCCGCGAGGGGGGAGCGGAAUCCUAAACGGUUAUCUCAGUUCGGGAUCGGGAGUCUGCAACUC